Molecule: long non-coding RNA, 950 nt
Filed under: Anas platyrhynchos platyrhynchos (common mallard)
Lineage: Eukaryota; Metazoa; Chordata; Aves; Anseriformes; Anatidae
Description: lncRNA (ENSAPLG00000025523.1)
Source: RNAcentral
CACGCCCGCCUUGGCCUUUUGGGGGGGGUUUGGGGAGUUUUGGGGCAUUUUGGGUCGUUUUAGUUUGGGUUUGGGUCACUUUGGGUCGCUUUGGAGUGUUUUGGGGCGUUUUAGCGCGUUUACGGGUGUUUUGGGGGCGUUUUUGCAUGUUUUUGGGAGUUUCUUGGGCAUUUUUUUGUGUUUUGGGGUGUUUUUCAGUGUUUUUGGGCGUUUCUUUGGUGUUUUUGCCUGUUUUGGGGUAUUUCUUGGGCGUUUUUGCGCGUUUUUAGGCGUUUCUUGGGCAUUUUUGUGCGUUUUUGCACGUUUGAGGGUGUUUCUUGGGUGUUUUUGCGUGUUUAGGGGCAUUUUUGCGCGUUUCUUGGGUGUUUUGGGGUGUUUUUGAGUGUUUUUGCGCGUUUUUGGGCAUUUUUGUGCGUUUCUUUGGCGUUUUUACCUGUUUUGGGGUAUUUCUUGGGCGUUUUUGCGCGUUUUUAGGCGUUUCUUGGGCAUUUUUGUGCGUUUUUGCACGUUUGAGGGCGUUUCUUGGGCGUUUUUGCGCGUUUAGGGGCGUUUCUUUGGUGUUUUUGCCCGUUUUCGGGUAUUUUUGGGGCGUUUUUGGGCUCACCUUUCAGCGGCAGGGGCCGGCCGACGGAGUGGAGGCAGCGGACGAAGUCGCCGGCGGCCAGCGAGGGGAAGAUCUGGUGGCCCACGCGGGUCAUGAUGCGCAUGGAGGCCACGACGUAGGGCGAGUCGGUCAGCUGCACGCCCGCCUUGGCCAGCGGCGACGAGGGGGGGCCCAUGCUGAAGGGGAUGAUGUACAUGGUGCGGCCUGGGGGGGGGGACCCCAAAAAAAAGGGUUGGAGACCCCAAAAAAAGGGUUGGAGACCCCAAAAAGGAGACCCCCAAAAAGGUGAGGAAGACCCCAAAAAGAAGACCCCAAAAAGGAGACCCCAAAAAGGGUGAAGAAGACC